GUAUGAAUGGCCACAGCAGGGUCUUACAGCCUCUUACUUCCAUCCCGUCAAAUUGACCUUCCCGUGAAGAGGCGGGAAUAUGACAAUAAGACGAGAAGACCCUAUGGAGCUUUAAUUAACCGACCCAAAGAGAUCUUGAUAAUCAACCGACAGGGAUAACAUACCUCUACCAUGGGCCGACAAUUUAGGUUGGGGUGACCUCGGAGAAUAAAACAACCUCCGAGUGAUUUAAAUCUAGACUAACUAGUCGAAAGUACUACAUCACUUAUUGAUCCAAAAACUUGAUCAACGGAACAAGUUACCCUAGGGAUAACAGCGCAAUCCUAUUUUAGAGUCCAUAUCGACAAUAGGGUUUACGACCUCGAUGUUGGA
Molecule: ribosomal RNA, 372 nt
Filed under: Panthera onca (jaguar)
Lineage: Eukaryota; Metazoa; Chordata; Mammalia; Carnivora; Felidae
Description: partial large subunit ribosomal RNA
Rfam family: Bacterial large subunit ribosomal RNA
Source: RNAcentral